UUUAAUNGGAAGAACCUUCCCUAUCGUGGAAAUCCUGCGAACCCUUCGGAGGCGAAGGGUCCCUUUGGGAACGCAGAGACAGGUGUNGCCAGGCUUUUUUCAGCUUUUUUUGGGAAAAUUUGGGUUAAAUCCCCNCCCGAGCCCCCCCCUUGCCCCUAUUUCCCCGGGAUUCGGUCGGGCAUUUUAGGGAGACUGCCGGUGACAAACCGGAGGAAGGUGGGGAGGACGUCAAAUCAUCAUGCCCCUUACGGCUAGGGCUACACACGUGUUACAAUGGUCGGUACAAAGGGAAGCGAACCCGGGAGGGGGAGCCAAUCCCAGAAAGCCGAUCUCAGUUCGGAUNGGAGUCUGCAACUCGCCUCCAANGUCGGAAUCGCUAGUANUCGCGAAUCAG
This 394-nucleotide ribosomal RNA is filed under the name uncultured bacterium. Its description in RNAcentral is "partial 16S ribosomal RNA". It matches the Rfam family "Bacterial small subunit ribosomal RNA", at positions 955 to 1352 of the family's 1533-position model. The record is from RNAcentral.